Non-coding RNA from Coturnix japonica (Japanese quail), 7161 nucleotides. The record is from RefSeq and is a predicted model, not a curated record. NCBI's taxonomy places the organism in Eukaryota, Metazoa, Chordata, Aves, Galliformes, Phasianidae.
UGCCUCAGUGUACAGCUUCAUCAGGAGAUGCUGAUGGGGUGAGAACAUGGAGCUGCAGCAGGUGCAGGGCUGCAUGAUGUCUCCAUCACCAUCCCUCACCACAGCUGAGGUAAGGGCUGACAAACAAGAGACCAGGAGCCAGAAGAGUAAGUAUUGUGGUUCCCAGCUCAGUUUGGUCACAGUAUUGGAAAUGUCCACACAGCACAUCCAGCUCCGCCUUGAAGAGACAGAUAAAGUAUAUCCCAUCUUCCUCCAAAACUUCAAAUGAGAAACAAGUAAAUUUUUUGCAGCCCUAUGCAGCCACUGCCAUAACCCUGAGUAUCAGUUGGCAUCUUUUACGUCUCACUGGCUAGAAGUUUCACGUUUUCAUUGCCCUGAAUCACCAGAUGGAUCCAUCAAACACAACAAAUGCCUCCAGAAACACUAACUCACUCCCGUUGAUCUCAGUGGGUUACAUAACUAUUGUCAUACUGACAAUGAAAUUGGAAAUAUCUGUGUUGCAGACUCAGAUACUUAAGCUUUCUAUCAGGGCUGAGAAACUGCAGAAGGAAAACUAAAUCUUAAAUUAAAUUUUAGAGUUUUUCAGUUUCUCAGAAAUUUGAUAGACGUGCACUUUUGGGAGGAUUUCUGAUCUGUUUGUGGGGGGAAGGUGUGGGUUUUUUUAUACCAACAGGGAUGAUUCAUGGACUGAGAGAUAUAUUUUUUCUAAGAUGUAACGCUAUAUCUUCACAAGUAGGAAAAUGUGGAAGUGAAAAAUGACCUCUCAGCCUUCCUGAGGAGCUGCCAGUGCUGUAGCUUGGCUGUAUGUUGGCCUGAUCCUCCUGUGCCCCAGGAUGCCCAAACCUGCUGCUCCUUCUCAACCUCCAGAAGACCAGAAGGCAGCUGAACAUCCCUGCCCCACUCUGACAGGAGCUUACACCUGGAAAGCACUGUCAGGAAAGCAGUGAAGUCAUCGCAGGUCAAACACUGAGUGUUGCUUAAAAAGGGAAAUUUGGACUAUGGACACGUGGACAAAUUGCCCUAAGGAUCCCAUUUAUCAACUGAUGUGUGAGAACCGCUUCUUAUCUGCAGUGAGAACCAGCCCAUGCAAGAGCUGGACCCCCAUGGCCACAAUAUUUGAACAGAUGUUUUAAAAUAAGUUCCAGGAAGGACAUAUGAAUGUCAGUUUAGAAAGGAGACUUGCCUGGGAUAUUUCUCUGAGCUUUGGCCACCCAGACCCCAUUACAGCUGAGCGUGGGCUUUUGCUGUAGAAAGGUGCUGAUUUAGCAAGAAUGCAAAACGUGUGCUGACAUCGGUGGGAGAUGUGCAUCUGGGAUGAUUAAAGACCAAACCCAACAGUAUUGGCCUGGGAUCUGCAGCUGCCCAGUGUGACCUCGGAGCCAGAAGGGACAAGCAGGAAGGCAGCUCCUCACCUUGCUGCUCCUUAUGCCAGCUGUGCAGGGCUUUCUCGUGUACUGCAAAGGAAUCUUUCCUCCUCCACGAAGAUGCCACAUCAGACAUUCACUGCACAUCCAGAUUUGCUUGAAGUUUGGUGCUUAGUGGUAUAUGAGAAGCUGAGUAGUACAGAGAAAUGACACGUUGAGUGUAAGAUGCUGCAUUCAUGGAGAAUUACAUCUCUUCCAUAGAGAGCCCAGCUGCCUGGACGCACUACAGCAAACCAGCUAAAAAUAAUGCACUCUUACAGGUUGGAAAGGACUGCACAACCCAAUGGGUUUGGACAAGAGCUACAAAGCCAUCUUGAAGGAAACAUCUACUUUGGUUUGUAGACGUCCUGGGAUCCUGCAGUCAGGAAAGGCAAGGAGAGGGAUAUUGUGGUAUUUCUCUGAGCUUUUGGGCUGCCUUGCAGUCUCCAAGCAAGAACACAGUGGAUUUCUUGUAAAUAUUUAAAGAAGUCUGACCCUCCCUGUGCAAUGCUGUGCUGUAAAGCAGUAGGAAGGCAGCUACCCACGUUUUCACACUGGAUGGCAUCACUUCCACUGAGUGUGCAGCAAGGUGCAAGACACAGCGAGAAAAUGGGACAGAUAUUUCUUCCUCCUCUCCUCAGGCCCAUGCUGCAGUACUGAUGGUGUCUUUCACAUGCCUGUCAUGGCCUGGAUCCAUAGGAGAAGGACGUCCUUUGUCUCAUCGCAGGCAGUAAGCAUCACAGCUCUGCUUUCAAGAUAUCAUUGUGACCAAUGCAUUUGUGCCGCACUUCAGUGCAAGAGCAACUGUCCCUUUGCCUGGAGGAAUCCUUGGGCAGUCCCACUGCUCUGCUGUCCCUGGAGCAACAUUUACUCUCAUCUCACACACAGGUGGGCAUUGGGCCUCUCCUAUGAGUUUAGAAUUUGAGGCAGGUUUGGGGGUAGCUCUGAAAAAUGUGAGAUGUGAAGGAAAAGUUUGGACCAACACAUGACAAAUUUUCUGCAUCUCAGUUCUAAAAGAAUUCAGGUUGUGUGAUAUAUUUGCACUUGCAAAUGUCUCAGGCUUUUUGUUUUUCUUUUAUACUUAUUUUAAGCUUGCAGCAUUGCAAUAACUAUGUUUUCAUAUUUCUUUUUCUCUGUGUCCUUGGGAAAAUGAGAUAGCAACACCUCAGGAAUUUGUGCUGGCAAAUAAUUCCCCUGGAACAGAGCUCUGUUUUGUGGCUGAAGAAAGAAAAUAAUCUUAAGGAUGUUAAUAGUCCUAAUUUCCAGAUGUGUAAGAGCUGAUGCUUUUGGAAAGGUGUGUAGGGAACGUAGAUGUCCUUUGGCAGAGCACUGUGGGAGCUCUAGAGAAGCAGAACGUUAGUGCUGUGAGGCUGUUUUGUGUUAGCUGCUGGUGUUGAAAUAGAGUAUUCUGUGGAAGAGCAAUCAGAGAAGAAAAAGAACUGUUGAACCAAAAGGUUUGCAAUGCAGUGCAGUGCUGGGCUCUGUUAUGCUAAGAAGGGCAGGAGAAGCCAAAUGUUUAAGGAGAGCUGGAAGGCAACAAGAGACAGCAGUGGGGAACAUUCACAUAAACAAUCAAUAACCUGCUGAGCAUGAGGAUUAAGAAACCAGUGAGGGAGAGGUGCAAAGAGAAAUGAAAGGAGAAAGAAACCAGAAUUGUAAAACAAUGGUGAGAAAAUUUGGCCCUCAUUGUGUGCAGAUGGGAUUCACAUCCCUCAUGUCAGCCUCACCAGCACCAGGGCUGUCCCAGCUCCCAAGAAGCUCCAGCUGCCACCAAGGGCUGUGCCAGACUGGAUUGGAGAGUGUGUCACAGGGAAGGUGACCUACACAUGAAUGCCAAAGUGGGGAGGAAUUUGAAGGAAGUGGUCAUUGUGUUCUAAAUGUUCUGGUCACUGUCAUGAAGGAGGAGGAUCAAAAGCUGCUGAAGAAACAGAAUUGUUUCCUGGCAUGAUGUGAUGGGGGGACUAGAUCAUCUCUUAAUGACAGAAAUGGCUUUGCAAAAAUGCUGCUUUAAAAAAAAAUAUCCAAAAUCCAGACAAUUUAGUUACAUGGAGCUGAGAUAGAACGUGAAGGUCCUUUAAGGUACUGCACAAUCAGUGCAGCACGUCUGCCUUGAGCCAGCCCACGUUGGAUUUACACAAAGUGCUGUGAGCAGUGGCAGGGCAGUUCCUACACUGGAAUGCCACUCCAUUCUCUUCUGUUCAUUCUUUCUUGUUUUGUGUUUUAAUCUGACUACACUUCACUCCUGGCAGCAGUUCACUAAGAAUGAACCAUGUCCUUUCCCCACCAGCCUUCACUUCUCACCGUGGUAGCUGCCCCUGCCUCUUCCUCCUCUUCUUCCCCUGCUGCUCUUCAUCAUCUUUUGUGCAGGAAAUCCUCCCAGCUGCCAGGCUCUUUCUCCAGUGAUGCUUCAGUUCGAGAAAUGAAAUUGCUGUUCCAAUGUCCUGUGAUGGAUGUGAUCUGGUCACCGUAUUUAACAUACCCUCGGAUAACAUUGAACAAAGAGAUGUUCCUGCAGUUCUGAUGCUGGGUACCGAUAUCAUGAGAGCAGAAUCAUUUGGAACAUUCAGAUGUUGGCUCAAGGGAGUUGCCGAUGGUGCGCGAAGCUUUUCUCUCUACAUCAGCAGAUUGCGUGCAGGAAUUUUGGAGUUGUGUUGAUAUGGAUAUUCAUUGCUGCACACCCAGGAUCCUCAUUUCCCUGGCUGCUCCCAACCUGAUGCCAUCUGCAGACAUGACAAGGAUGCCUUCUCCAGGUUAUCACUGCUGCCCACAGCAAAGUUGUGAAAGCAAAGGCAGGCUUACCUCAGCUUCAUAGAACAGAACUUCAUCAAAGCACGGUCAUAAUUUAACAUCUCUUCUGAAUUCUAUAGUAUUCUUUAUUUCUUUUGUAAUUACCAGAGUCAUAAACAUUGCUAUCUAGUCGAGAGCGACUGUGAGAUCUGUGGUGUUUGCUGUGUAUAUGCUACGGACAAUGGGUGUCAGGGAUAACUAACAGCAGGUCUGUUGAACGUAGCAGCUUUCAUUUGAAUGUGACAUUUGGAAACUCUUGUUGCUAGUGAAAAGCAGGACUUAUUUGCAUGCAGUGAUUGCUCAGCUUCCAAGCGAGUGCCAAUGAAUGCCAAAUGUAUACACUUAACUGAUUACGGAAAGCAGAACUGCAUUAUUUUGGCUUGAUUUAAAUAGUAUUGAGCUACAGUUUUAAUCUUGUUUCCAACUCCCUUUAUGUCCUGAAUGAUGUAGGGAACUAGACUACUGCAGCAGUCACCAGAUGAAUUUCCCUUAGGAAAUUAGCCCCCUGAUGCCUUAAGAUCAGCAAUGUUGUUCCAUGGAACAAUUGUUCCUUUCUGACCAGUCCUAAGAUAGCUGGAAGGAAGAAGAUCCCUUCUUAACCAUCACCAGGUUUGAAAUGAAAGGAGCUGCUCCUUAGAAAUAUCCCGGAAUCUGCUCCUUUUGGAAGCCAUCUUGAGAACUGUUGCAAAACUGUCCCCCAAAAUAAAGCAGUCUGAAAGAGCAAGAGAGCAGAUAGAUCCAGCAGUCACAGCACAAAGCACUUGGAGGAAAGUGAUGCAGGCUGCAAAGCACUUGGAGACUUCUCUUGAUGGAAACCAAUGACUCACCAUCAGCUCUUUAAACCUACGUUCCUGGCUGCCACCGUUAAAACCCUGCUGUGUCUGUAGACUAAUUAUGCAGAAAGUAGCUUUUCCUGAUAAAGGGUAACACUCGCUGAAGUGUAAUGGGGAAGGCAUCUCCACUGCAGUAUCGAUUCUUGCUGCUCUCGCUGUCGGGGCUGGUCUGAGCUGAAUGCAAUUAGAUGCGAUCCCUGCACUCAGGGGAAACGGGGCUUCUCUUUUUGUAACUGUGCCUUCUGCAAGUCCUGAUAAAUAGGACAUUAAAGGGGAAUUAUUCCAUUCUGUGUUUUACAAAAGGACUAGUCUUCCCCUAUUCAAUUACUGGGCCCUAACGAUCAAGUCAGUGAAAACAUUUACUGUUAGGUCUCUUUUUAUUUCAAUCCUUUCUGAUCCAGGGAAAAACAAAACCUUACAAAGAAAACACAGGAAAUUUUGCAUUAAGCUGACCUUGCCCCAUACAUCAUUCGUACAGCUUUCUUUCCAUGCUUCCAAGAGGCCAUUUAGCUUAAUGCUCUGUUCCACAUCUCAUUUCAUUAUGUUACAGGUGCUCUGGGGAUGAUUUUCAACAGAACAAAGGAAUGACAUAUUUCCUGGCUUGGAAAAUGAAUUCAGUGUUUGUUUAGGAGUCUCCCUCCUUUUGUGCCUUAGAUUUACUUCCCGUAAUACGGAAUGGGCGGUAAGUACUUUCACCAGAAUAUAGAACAUUGCAGAUGGAAGCGUUAAUACAAUUUCUUAGACCUCUUCAAUUACCCAAAGCCAUUGGGAAAUGCUUCAUAUGCUUGCUCUUGUAAUAAAAGGUUAACUUUUAUUCUUUUUUAUUUUUUAUUUAUAAUCUUCAGAAGUUUAAGCAAAGACAAAGCUUCCGUUCUAUUUUGUUUAACUUUUUGUCAAUAAAAACUACUUGUACAAAAUACAUUAUUUGUAAAGCAUCUAAAAAAAUAACAAACCAAAAACAUGCCUGGCUGUAUGAUAUUUAUUUAGACAGCACAUAUUUUAAGAGCCUGCAGUAUUCAAUCUGCAUGAAAAAGAAUGAAUGAACUGUAGGGGAAAAACAGGAGCGACAUCUUCAACUAUUUAUGCUCAGCGAGUUGCUGUCUCUCCAGAUGUGGAACAGGAAGCAUAAAAUUGUUCAAGAAAUGAAGUAUAAAAUCAGUGACAACCUUUGAAGUGACAUUAACAUUCUGAAACUUAAAAUUGUUUGAAACGUGGUAGAAAAUGAACUGUUUGUGAACAGCGAAUGAAACGCGCUGCUGAAAAUCCACUUAAGUACUGAACCAUUGAAGGAAAUUAAUCCUAAGUGGGACUUCAGGAGUAGAAUUUCUACUUUGAUGAAUUUUUCAUGCUUGAUAGAUAGUGAUAUUCAACUAAUAAUGUUAAUAACCGUACUAUUUGCAAGUAAUUAUCCCCAUAAAUGAGCUGUGAUGGUUUGAAAACAUCUGUUUCCUUUUGGAAUCAGUGUACAUCUGCCCUUAAACAAGGUGAAAAUGCAGUGUGAUAACUCUGAGGACUGAAUUGCUGUGUUUUUGGCUUUUUCCCCCCCCUGUAAUGCUGUAUUCCCUGCAAUUAGGUAACAGCUUUGAAUAUGAUUACAGCAUUUUUAUGUAUCAGCAUGUAUAUUAUUAGAAUGUUUGCUUCCUUAAUCUCUCUGCUUUAUCUGAUGUUUUAGGCAUUAAAUGAAUCAUGGGGUUGAUAUGUACAAUGUUUUCAAAAUAAUUCUUUUAUUAUUUUGCUGGUGAAUUCUGCUUGACAGAUAAUUCCUCUUAAUGAACUUUGCCACAGCUGCUUCCUACGUGGGGCUGUGCACACCCACCCUCCAUCUCCUUCACACCUCUUGCACCUCCACUGGCACAAAUCUGUGCAUGCAAUGGGCAAACACAAUAGAACCCUUCCAAGGCUGUGACUGAGACUUACUUUGAUGCCAGCACCCUGAAACUCGUGGUAAUCGAAUCCCUACAACAUCGUGUGAUGGAGAGGAAAGUGGCAGCUGGAUGGAUUUAAAAUGAAAACAUCUCUCUGAGGCUAUAGCUGCUCUCCAGGAGGGUGAGUCACAGGUUCCCAUACUGGAUAGCAACAAAAGCAAGGCUGGGAGAUUGUCCUCAAUCAGCACAGCUGUAGCUGGUAUGCGUGACAUG